RNAcentral lists this ribosomal RNA (279 nucleotides) under uncultured soil bacterium. RNAcentral's name for it is "partial 16S ribosomal RNA". It matches the Rfam family "Bacterial small subunit ribosomal RNA", at positions 26 to 297 of the family's 1533-position model. The record is from RNAcentral.
AGAGUGAACGCUGGCGGUAGGCCUAACACAUGCAAGUCGAACGGCAGCACGGUAAGAGCUUGCUCUUAUGGGUGGCGAGUGGCGGACGGGUGAGGAAUACAUCGGAAUCUACCUUUUGGUGGGGGAUAACGUAGGGAAACUUACGCUAAUACCGCAUACGCCCUUCGGGGGAAAGCCGGGGACCAGCAAUGGCCUGGCGCUGAUAGAUGAGCCGAUGUCGGAUUAGCUAGUUGGUGAGGUAAUGGCUCACCAAGGCGACGAUCCGUAGCUGGUCUGAGA